UAGGGACAAAAGAUGGAGUGGGAGCCAGGACACCUAAAGCAAUUUGGAAUCCAACUUGGUGGGCUGUGAUUAGAAAGAGAGAGGCUUGAGUGGGAAUGCUCCAAACACUGAAGCAAACCCAAUUCGAAUCUGAAAGGGGAAAGAAAGCAAAGAUAUUUUAUUUUAUUUUAUUUUAUUUUAUUUCCCAUAGAUGCCAAAGCCUCUGCCUUUGGAUGAAAAGGGACGGCGACUUUUCUGGUUUUCUUUGUGAAAAAGCCUUGGGCAUCUACACCCACUAACAUUAUAUUCUUCCGCUGUUUCCAUGGCUACAGCGUUCUCAUUUGUUAGGAUUGGUGCAAUGCUUGAAAAUGGACUCAACCAUGGCAGCGACCUCAUCUUCCCUAAUGGGUCUGCCUCUGAGAGCCUCGAUCCACUUGGGAGAGAAAAGCUCCAGAGUGCACACCUUCCUCACGUACGUUAACAUCAUUAAACAUAGCAUAAUCCGUACGUUGAACUCAUACAGUGGGCCGGAGAGCACUUAGACCUACAGAAACACUACAAGUAGAAGACCAUCAAUUGAAUGGACCUUUAAAGUGAAGGUAAAACAAAAAGGAAGCAAUCCAGAUUUAACCAGAGUGCAGAGACAGAUUAAAUAUUGUUCUUAUCUGGGUCAAUCUUCUCAGGAGAUUCCUCCUCUUGUAUUAAUCCCACCUCACCAUUCUCAUACCCUCCUCUAGCAUGAGCCACCACCACUUCUCAUCUACACUUGUGACUUCCAAAUUUUGGGUAUUCAUCCCGAGGCAGAGCCAAAACUGAAGUAUUACUUCUGGUUUUGUUAGUUGGCUGAUCAAAGAAACCGACUUUGUACUUUGGAAAUGACUCAACCACAGAAGAGUUGCAAUUGUAGAGCAAAAAGAAGUCAGCUUGAUUUGAAGCCAACUUCUACUGAUC
Molecule: long non-coding RNA, 930 nt
Filed under: Prunus dulcis (almond)
Lineage: Eukaryota; Viridiplantae; Streptophyta; Magnoliopsida; Rosales; Rosaceae
Description: sRNA ncRNA
Source: RNAcentral